AUUGAACGCUGGCGGCAGGCCUAACACAUGCAAGUCGAGCGAGCGGCGGACGGGUGAGUAAUGUAUGGGAAACUGCCUGAUGGAGGGGGAUAACUACUGGAACCGGUAGCUAAUACCGCAUACCAUCAGAUGUGCCCAGAUGGGAUUAGCUCGUAGGUGUGGUAACGGCUCACCUUGGCGAAGAUCCCUAGCUGGGCUGCGAGGAUGACCAGGCACACUGGAACUGAGACACGGCCCAGACUCCUACGGGAGGCAGCAGUGGGGAAUAUGGCACAAUGGGCGCAAGCCUGAUGCAGCCAUGCCGCGUGUAGGAAGAAGGCUUUCGGGUGGUAAAGUACUUUCAGCGGGGAGGCGUUACCCACAGAGGAAGCACCGGCUAACUACGUGCCAGCAGCCGCGGUAAUUC
This 406-nucleotide ribosomal RNA is filed under the name uncultured bacterium. RNAcentral's name for it is "partial 16S ribosomal RNA". It matches the Rfam family "Bacterial small subunit ribosomal RNA", at positions 30 to 526 of the family's 1533-position model. The record is from RNAcentral.